RNAcentral lists this ribosomal RNA (578 nucleotides) under uncultured Pseudomonadota bacterium. Its description in RNAcentral is "bacterial SSU rRNA". It matches the Rfam family "Bacterial small subunit ribosomal RNA", at positions 97 to 670 of the family's 1533-position model. The record is from RNAcentral. Lineage: Bacteria; Pseudomonadati; Pseudomonadota.
GGCGCACGGGUGAGUAACACGUAGGCAAUCUACCAUUAGGACGGGGACAACCUCGAGAAAUCGAGGCUAAUACCCGAUAAUGCAGCGGCACCGCAUGGUGAUGUUGUUAAAGGCCCGCAAGGGCGCCUAUUGAUGAGCCUGCGUCCCAUUAGGUAGUUGGCGGGGUAACGGCCCACCAAGCCGACGAUGGGUAGCUGGUCUGAGAGGAUGAUCAGCCACACUGGAACUGAGACACGGUCCAGACUCCUACGGGAGGCAGCAGUGAGGAAUAUUGCGCAAUGGCCGAAAGGCUGACGCAGCGACGCCGCGUGAGGGAUGAAGUCCGUUAGGAUGUAAACCUCUUUUGCGAGGGAUGAAUGUUCCGCCUUGUGCGGACUUGACCGUACCUUGCGAAUAAGGGUCGGCUAACUACGUGCCAGCAGCCGCGGUAAUACGUAGGACCCGAGCGUUGUCCGGAAUUACUGGGUGUAAAGGGCGUGUAGGUGGACCUCUCAGUCGGUGGUGAAAUCCUGCGGCUCAACCGCAGAACUGCCGCCGAUACUGGAGGUCUUGAGUACGGCAGAGGGAGAUGGAAUUCA